This 85-nucleotide non-coding RNA is filed under the name uncultured Roseateles sp. RNAcentral describes it as "Cyclic di-GMP-I riboswitch". It matches the Rfam family "c-di-GMP-I riboswitch aptamer", at positions 12 to 83 of the family's 87-position model. Rfam says of the family: GEMM was predicted in a large-scale screen for bacterial structured RNA regulatory elements. Genes associated with GEMM are involved in a diverse array of functions, including chemotaxis regulation, signal transduction, secretion and chitin. The record is from RNAcentral. Lineage: Bacteria; Pseudomonadati; Pseudomonadota; Betaproteobacteria; Burkholderiales; Sphaerotilaceae.
GCACACUCGAGCGAAAGCCGGGGUCGCAAAGCUUCCGGUCUUCGGCGGGCGAACCAAGUUCACCCGCAACGACAGCGGGGUUGCA